GAUGAACGCUGGCGGCGUGCCUAAUACAUGCAAGUCGAGCGAACGGACGAGAAGCUUGCUUCUCUGAUGUUAGCGGCGGACGGGUGAGUAACACGUGGAUAACCUACCUAUAAGACUGGGAUAACUUCGGGAAAACGGAGCUAAUACCGGAUAAUAUUUUGAACCGCAUGGUUCAAAAGUGAAAGACGGUCUUGCUGUCACUUAUAGAUGGAUCCGCGCUGCAUUAGCUAGUUGGUAAGGUAACGGCUUACCAAGGCAACGAUGCAUAGCCGACCUGAGAGGUUGAUCGGCCCACCUGGAACUGAGACACGGUCCAGACUCCUACGGGAGGCAGCAGUAGGGAAUCUUCCGCAAUGGGCGAAAGCCUGACGGAGCAACGCCGCGUGAGUGAUGAAGGUCUUCGGAUCGUAAAACUCUGUUAUUAGGGAAGAACAUAUGUGUAAGUAACUGUGCACAUCUUGACGGUACCUAAUCAGAAAGCCACGGCUAACUACGUG
This 497-nucleotide ribosomal RNA is filed under the name uncultured bacterium. Its description in RNAcentral is "partial 16S ribosomal RNA". It matches the Rfam family "Bacterial small subunit ribosomal RNA", at positions 28 to 507 of the family's 1533-position model. The record is from RNAcentral.